RNAcentral lists this ribosomal RNA (170 nucleotides) under Nemichthys scolopaceus (slender snipe eel). RNAcentral describes it as "partial 12S rRNA". The record is from RNAcentral. Lineage: Eukaryota; Metazoa; Chordata; Actinopteri; Anguilliformes; Nemichthyidae.
CACCGCGGUUAUACGAGCGGCCCAAGUUGACAUUACACGGCGUAAAGAGUGAUUAGAAGACCUACAAACUAAAGCCAAACCCUUCCCCCAAGCUGUUAUACGCUCACGGAUAGACGAAGAUUUACAACGAAAGUAGCUUUAACAAAUUUGAACUCACGAAAGUCGAGGGA